Molecule: long non-coding RNA, 102 nt
Organism: Hibiscus syriacus
Lineage: Eukaryota; Viridiplantae; Streptophyta; Magnoliopsida; Malvales; Malvaceae
Exons: 3
Source: RefSeq, a predicted model, not a curated record
GUUUCAGCAACAGAACUUGCAACUUGCCCAAGCAAACAACCAGAUGUUAUCGGAACUUAAUUCAGGGAAAGAUAGGCUAAAAGCCCUUAAACAUGAAUUGGG